AAACCAAAAAGAGAGUAAACAAGGGAAAGAGCAAAUUUACCUGUAUUCCAAUGGUGAAUCAGAACCAUGAUUGGUACCAUUUAAGAAAGGAGUAGAGGGUAUUUAAACAUUUUAAUUAAGCAGUAGUGGAGACUGCUGGAUUGUAAAAUGGAAGAUAUUCUAGAAUAAGCUAUUGUUGAUAGAGUUGGAGUUUUCCUUUUCAUUGUUUAUAUAAUUUGUUAUAGCUUUAUAUUCACCUUCCUACUAAUAAUAGCUGGGAAUAAUGAUAAUCAAGGACAAUGCAUGUAUAUUUUGAGGGAAGAAAUGGAAUAAAAAAGAGGUGCACACCCAAAAUGCCUGCUGUCUGGAAUAAAUGCAGUCGUAAUCGUGUUUUUUUAACAUAACAUUUUCUGGACCCCUAUAAGACUAAGCAUGUGCCUUGGGUUGCUUUAGCACCUAAUUAGGUGCACACAUUUAACUACCAUAGUCACAGUUCUCCAUUUUAUCUAUUCUGCUUUAAUCCUGUAAUUGACAUCCUCCAUUCCUUAAUCCAAUAAUUGGGAUCCUCAUUCUCACUAUUCCUAUUAGAAAUUUGGAAUGUGUGGGAACUCUAAGCCUAACCCUAUUUCAUGCACUUCCCCUUCCAUUACUAAAAUGAUGUGUACAUCCUUUUUGUACUUAGCUUGGAACCCUUGGACUCAUUCAAAGUCAAGCACUUCGUUUCUGGAAUUUUAGAAAAAAAGGAAAUCCAGCACUUUAGUUCCUUGUGUAUAUAUAAGUAAGUCCAAAAUGAUGUAAUUUUGAUAAAAGAAAAUAAAAGGGCUAAAUUUUUGGAUUUGUUGAAGCUCAAGAAUAAUCAAAGUGUUUGAUUUUGACAAGUGGAGGAUCAAAAUGUGCAUUAGAGAAUUGUUUGAUGUGCUAGUUAAUGACCAGAUUGUGG
RNAcentral lists this unclassified non-coding RNA (919 nucleotides) under Hevea brasiliensis (rubber tree). The record is from RNAcentral. Lineage: Eukaryota; Viridiplantae; Streptophyta; Magnoliopsida; Malpighiales; Euphorbiaceae.